UACAGAGGGGGCGAGCGUUAUUCGGAAUUAUUGGGCGUAAAGGGCGCGUAGGCGGCCGAGCAAGUCUUGGGUGAAAUCCCUCGGCUCAACCGAGGAACUGCCUUGGAAACUGCUUGGCUUGAGGCCGGGAGAGGGUGGUGGAAUUCCCAGUGUAGCGGUGAAAUGCGUAGAUAUUGGGAGGAACACCAGUGGCGAAGGCGGCCACCUGGACCGGUCCUGACGCUGAGGCGCGAAAGCGUGGGGAGCAAACAGGAUUAGAUACCCGUGUAGU
Molecule: ribosomal RNA, 271 nt
Filed under: uncultured bacterium
Lineage: Bacteria
Description: partial 16S ribosomal RNA
Rfam family: Bacterial small subunit ribosomal RNA
Source: RNAcentral